This 248-nucleotide long non-coding RNA is filed under the name Elaeis guineensis (African oil palm). RNAcentral's name for it is "long non-coding RNA (EGUI_LNC057739)". The record is from RNAcentral. Lineage: Eukaryota; Viridiplantae; Streptophyta; Magnoliopsida; Arecales; Arecaceae.
GAUGGGCCAUGGAUGCUAGAGACAAGGUGGGCGGGCUGGAACGGUGAUGAAGAUGACAAGAUCCAUUGCAGUGUCUUAAGGUUUUGAGUUAGAGGAGAGGUGGGGGAGGGUUUAGUGCUGGCAGAAGCAUCGGGUGGUGCCAGAGAAAUUUUGUAGAUGGGAUUCGAGAUCUGUUGUGGAUGCAGCAGGUAGAUGCAAGACAAGAAGGGUGGGAUCCAGAAAGAAGAAACGGAGGCUGGGUCCGGCGU